UAAUACAGAGGUGGCAAGCGUUGUUCGGAAUUACUGGGCGUAAAGGGCGCGUAGGCGGCCAUCUAAGUCAGACGUGAAAUCCCCCGGCUUAACCUGGGAACUGCGUCUGAUACUGGACGGCUUGAGUAUGGGAGAGGGAUGUAGAAUUCCAGGUGUAGCGGUGAAAUGCGUAGAUAUCUGGAGGAAUACCGGUGGCGAAGGCGGCAUCCUGGACCAUUACUGACGCUGAGGCGCGAAAGCUAGGGGAGCAAACGGGAUUAGAUACCCCGGUAGUCCUAGCCCUAAACGAUGAAUGCUUGGUGUGGCGGGUAUCGAUCCCUGCCGUGCCGAAGCUAACGCAUUAAGCAUUCCGCCUGGGGAGUACGGUCGCAAGGCUG
RNAcentral lists this ribosomal RNA (377 nucleotides) under uncultured bacterium. RNAcentral describes it as "bacterial SSU rRNA". It matches the Rfam family "Bacterial small subunit ribosomal RNA", at positions 521 to 896 of the family's 1533-position model. The record is from RNAcentral.